This 662-nucleotide ribosomal RNA is filed under the name Rhodococcus sp. (in: high G+C Gram-positive bacteria). RNAcentral describes it as "bacterial SSU rRNA". It matches the Rfam family "Bacterial small subunit ribosomal RNA", at positions 57 to 737 of the family's 1533-position model. The record is from RNAcentral. Lineage: Bacteria; Bacillati; Actinomycetota; Actinomycetes; Mycobacteriales; Nocardiaceae.
GCAGUCGAGCGGUAAGGCCUUUCGGGGUACACGAGCGGCGAACGGGUGAGUAACACGUGGGUGAUCUGCCCUGCACUUCGGGAUAAGCCUGGGAAACUGGGUCUAAUACCGGAUAUGACCUCCUGUUGCAUGGNUUGUGGUGGAAAGAUUUAUCGGUGCAGGAUGGGCCCGCGGCCUAUCAGCUUGUUGGUGGGGUAAUGGCCUACCAAGGCGACGACGGGUAGCCGACCUGAGAGGGUGACCGGCCACACUGGGACUGAGACACGGCCCAGACUCCUACGGGAGGCAGCAGUGGGGAAUAUUGCACAAUGGGCGAAAGCCUGAUGCAGCGACGCCGCGUGAGGGAUGACGGCCUUCGGGUUGUAAACCUCUUUCAGCAGGGACGAAGCGCAAGUGACGGUACCUGCAGAAGAAGCACCGGCUAACUACGUGCCAGCAGCCGCGGUAAUACGUAGGGUGCAAGCGUUGUCCGGAAUUACUGGGCGUAAAGAGUUCGUAGGCGGUUUGUCGCGUCGUUUGUGAAAACCAGCAGCUCAACUGCUGGCUUGCAGGCGAUACGGGCAGACUUGAGUACUGCAGGGGAGACUGGAAUUCCUGGUGUAGCGGUGAAAUGCGCAGAUAUCAGGAGGAACACCGGUGGCGAAGGCGGGUCUCUGGGCAGU